Molecule: ribosomal RNA, 253 nt
Filed under: uncultured Flavobacterium sp.
Lineage: Bacteria; Pseudomonadati; Bacteroidota; Flavobacteriia; Flavobacteriales; Flavobacteriaceae
Description: partial 16S ribosomal RNA
Rfam family: Bacterial small subunit ribosomal RNA
Source: RNAcentral
UACGGAGGAUCCAAGCGUUAUCCGGAAUCAUUGGGUUUAAAGGGUUCGUAGGCGGCCUUAUAAGUCAGCGGUGAAAGUUUGCAGCUUAACUGUAAAAUUGCCAUUGAUACUGUAGGGCUUGAAUUUUUGUGAAGUAACUAGAAUAUGUAGUGUAGCGGUGAAAUGCUUAGAUAUUACAUGGAAUACCAAUUGCGAAGGCAGGUUACUAACAAACGAUUGACGCUGAUGGACGAAAGCGUGGGUAGCGAACAGG